Molecule: long non-coding RNA, 6792 nt
Organism: Anolis carolinensis (green anole)
Lineage: Eukaryota; Metazoa; Chordata; Lepidosauria; Squamata; Anolidae
Exons: 2
Source: RefSeq, a predicted model, not a curated record
GCUUUGACUACUGAGCUCAAAGUUUGAAUUCGGUUCUGUUUUGUUCAUCUAGGUUUGUGGUUGUAUGGUUUUGACCUCUUUUUUUAGACAGACUCCCCGUCUUGAAUGGUUAUUCAGCAAGCAGGUAUAAUACAGCUUCUUCUCAUUUGGCUGUUGCAUUUGAUUAUUGUAGAAAGUUCAGAAAUUGAUUUGUUUUCAAUAAGAACUUAUUUUUCACAAGCAGGAUGAGAAGAACUUGAUACCAUUUGUGUGUGGGAAAAAGCAAAGGAGAUUACUUUCUCCAUCCCUAGUGGGACAAUGCAAAGAUAGAACCACAUAAGUCUGAUCAGUAUGCAAAAGUAUGCACCUUUAAGACUAGCAGUGUUUGAAAGUGUGGUUACAGCACAGUAAAAUUUGUCUUCUGUUGACUUUAUCAAUCAUUUGCUGAAAUUCAGGCAGGCAAAUCAGUUUAAAGCAUCUUAAAAAAAUUGUCAUAAUAAACCAAGAAGCAAUUAUAGCUUUUUUCAUGCUAUAAAGUAAAGGUAAAGGUUUUCCCCUGACAUUAAGUCUAGUCGUGUCUGACUCUGGGGGUUGGGGCUCAUCUCCAUUCCUAAACCGAAAAACCAGCGUUGUCCAUAGAUACCUCCUAGGUCAUGUGGCUGGUAUGACUGCAUGGAGCACCAUUACCUUCCUACCGGAGCAGCACCUAUUGAUCUAUUCACAUUUGCAUGUUUUUGAACUGUUAGAUUAGCAGAAGCUGGGACUAACAGUGGGAGCUCACCCCUCUCACUAGAUUCGAACUGCCGACCUUUCAGUCAGCAAGUUCAGCAGGUCAGUGGUUUAAUCUGCUGAUAUCUUGCAAUUGAAUGACAAUUAAUGGAUGGAAGACACAUCAGACUUUGUGUUUCAUGCAUUACCUUGUGUUUCUUUUAAGAGUUAAACUACACAUUAAAUGGAUUUGAUCUCUGAAUGUGAUUUCCUUUAAUGAAAUAUAACUUUGGGAGGGAGACUGCUCAUUUGAUCAGAGAAGAGUACUGAGAGAAGGGAUGGCAAAUACCAUCAUCAUGCCAUUUUCCCAUUCAAAAGCAUCUCUCCACUCAGUUGCUGUUUUUCUUGGAAAGGGGAAAGUAAAAGGGUGCAUCUAUUUCCAAGUACAUCUAUUUCCAAUAGCCACAUAGGCUGAGAUAUUCUGGAAGCUGUGAUCCAAAAAAUAAGUUUUCCAAACUCAAGUUGGACUGCAGCUGUUAGGAUCCCCAGCUCACAUGGUUAAUGGCAGAUUGGCUAGGAAUAAAGGGCAUUGCAGUCCAUCAUAUUUGAAGAAACCUCAAGAAACCUGAACAAACAGAGAAGGGAUUUACUAUGAGCUUUUACUUUACAAUUGCAUUCUAUUCUUCUUCAUCAUCAUCAUUUGACUGGCUUAUACUGGCAAUAAAUGAAAAGCAAAAUAAAGACAGAAAUGAGGUUUUUUAAAAAAGAAAAAGAAAAGAAAAAGAAAAAAAGAAAGAGAUAUGAAAACAAGAUAUUCUUAAUUAAAGGUUAUUUUCCCAAAUGGCCAGCCAGUCUUGACUUUUGAGAAGUCGAAGGAAAAAAUGGACUCAUACAAUUAUUUGCAGUGUAGAAACUUCCAUUCAUGAACUUUUAAAGUGGGAAGAAUAGACACCUGGAAACAGUUUGUUUCCAAAUCCCCUGCUUGCAGGAUCUGUUUAGACAUUAAUCUUCACAUAUACAGCAAAUGUAUGGAGUAGGAUCGUACUUGUAGCCUACCACCCAAUGUGGUAGUUGGCUCUACCAUACCAGUAGCCCAGUGCUUGGCAGAUAUAUGAAAAGGUUUUAUCAUUGUUAUAGUUCAGCAAUAUCACAUUUAUAUCCUGAAAUCUUAGGCCCCUUCUACACAAUUGAAUAAAAUCCAGAUUAUCUGCUUUUAAGUGAAUUACAUGGCAGUGUAGACUCUGUCUUGAUAUUCUGUAUUAUAUGCCAGUGUAUAAGGCAUCUUAGAUAACACAGCCACAGAGUACAUGAAACAAUAUGAGCAACCCUUUAAAAUGCUUGAAAGACUUUGGCUAACAUUUGGUGGGUGUUUUACACAAUGUAAGUUCCCUUAGGUAAAUGCUUGUAUUUUAACCAUGGUGUAACAUCUGCAUUCAGUUCAUAGUUUUGUAAGUAUGACUAUUCUUGGCCAUAGUGAAGCUCAUCAGAGGCUUCACAAUAUCCCGUGAUUCACUGGGACUAUAGAAAGAGCCAGCUCAUUUACAGAUACACAACUGGUUGCACAAUAUCAUAUUCAGCAGAUUUGAAAGCCCAAGUUUUGAUUAUCUGUAUGGAAUCCUCACAUUCUGCAUUGGCUUCCUCUCUGUGCUCUAUGACUAUCUUUAGGUGCAACUUUGGAGGCCUAAUGUGGUUUCAAAAUCCCCUUGAAAAGUUUGUGGUGCCAAAAUGUUUAAAAUGUGUUAUACAGUCACAUAAAUGUAAAUCAUAUUUGUCUUUUCUCCUCAUCUUUAUUUUUAGUUAUUGUGAUGUUAUGUUCCCUGGUGGGAAAUGAAGCUCACCACCAGCUCCCACUAAUUAUUAUUAAGUAAAUAUACACAUGAGUUCCAGAUGUAAAAGCGUGAUUACGUUCUCUGUUGGCAAUAGAUGUGUUUCCAUGUUGCCUAGGUUUUGUCUAUAUAUGACUAUGUCAGGUUUCUUAUAUGCAAUUUCAUUUUCUUGGAAUGAAGCUGGUGUUCCUAUUCUCAGAAACAUAUAUAUACUGGCCUUCUAUAAUUCAGGGUGUGUGUAUGUAUAUCCUAUUUAACUCAAAAUUUGCUGCAAAACUAUAUAAUGUAGGGCAAAACCAAUGAAGAAUGACAAAAAUAGAAGUACCAGGUAUUGUUUAAAAAUAUAAAGAAAAUAGCCACUGCCAGGAGAGAUAUUCCAGGUCAAGUAUUUGACCCCUCUCUCCUUCAAAACAUGGCCCAAUUCUUCAUUCCUUCUUCCAUUGUUCCUAGUUACAUUAAGAAGAAGGUUCUUGUUGGUAGUGGCUAAUUGUAAAAUUGUCUUGUCGAAUGUGGCAUAGGAAGCACACACACUGCUUGGACUUUUGGGAUCUCAAGACACAGCACAGGGGUAAAAGUGGGAGUUCGACCAUUAACGUUUUCCUUUUCUUAUAUCCACACUAUCUGCUUCUAUUAUUUGAUGAAGUAUAUUCUUUGGUCAAUUGUGUUGCACAUGAGAAAUGCAGGUUGAAUUGUCUGCUGAGGACAGAAGUGGGGAAACUGUGUCCCCCUAGAUCACAUGUGUCAAACACACAACUAGUGAGCUUAAGUCCGUCAUGUCAUUUUAUGUGGCCCACGAGACGUUCAAUGCCAGGGUAACAUAAUUACAUUCGUACAGUCUUACAAUUACAAAUGGACAUUUAAAGGCAACUGUAAGGACGAUGUGGCCCCUGGUGAAAAUGAGUUUGACACUCCUGAUCUAGAUGAUACUGUACUGAAAGCCAUUCUUCUCCAUUAUUUGAAUCAGUUAGGGUUGAAGAGAAUAGUAGGCAAACAAGAAGACCACAAGACCAUUUCUGGCCUAGGCAUUUAAAUAAUGCCUAAAAGAGUUGCAGAGUCUGCUAAUCCAACCACUGAAUCUUGUUGAAAAGAAAGGGUUCAGUUAUUUUUGGUGGAUCAACAAGAUCUCCCUAUCUCUGGUGCAAUCCUGUCUGCCUUACCCAUUGGUACUGACAUUUGACUUUGCUUCUUCAUUCUGACUCCUGCUCUUGUUUUACAGCUCCAUCUCCAGCUUGUGCCUGCAGUUCAACUCCUUUUUCAAUUCUAAGGCUGACUGGUUCUCCGGUUUGCAUUCUGUCUUCUUUCUUGGCUCUAAUUCUUGAUAUGCUCUUAGGCUCUUACUACUUGGCUCUAUUGUUGAUCGGAUUUCCAGCUCUUCCCAGGCUGCUGCUUAUGAAUGGGCCAUGACAUCUUGCUUCUGGGAUUCUAAUGUACUGGGAGUGUAGCAGUUGGGAAUGGGAAUGGGAAUUUUCAAUUUAUUUAUUUGGAAGAUAUUUACCUUACUACCCAACUGAAAGGACUAAUUAAGCGAUAACCUAUUCAAAAGUGAGUGUACAAGAAAAAUUCAACAACUUGAUCAGAUGUUAUAUGGUUAAUAGGAGUAAAAAUGGAUUUUAAAAACCAAGUAAAACACAGUGUUAAGACAAGUUUAUAACACCAGUAAGUUCCCCAAAGAUAUACAGUGAGUGCCACGUCAACUUGUCUCAGGUGGGCAAAGGUAUUCCAGAUACAUAAUGUUAUAAUCUGAAACAUAUUUACAUACCCUCCAACUUUUCAUUGAUGAAAACAUCAAAGUGCAGACAAGACAGCAAAUGUUAAAGAGGAAGAACACAUAAUCCUAGGAGAGACUCAAAUAAUCUGUUUUUCUGCCUGCCUCCUUUCUGUUCCCACUGAGAGCCCAUCCACACUGCCCCUUUAUCCCAGGAUCUGAUACCAGAUUAUCUGUUUAUCCCAGGUGAUUUGGCAGUGGGGACUCAUAUAUUCCAGUCUGAAGCAGAUAAUCUGAGAUCAAAUCCUGGAAUAAAGGACAAUGUGGAAGGGCCCUAAAUUAAAUGCAAGCAAAAUAAUUUAAACUCAGUUUUCAUCAACGGAAGUAAGCUAAGAACAAAGUGGGAAAGUGGAAGGAGACAAGGGAAACUGGGACAUUUUAGAAGCAGAAGGAAGAGGUAAAUUCAGAAGUGCAGGCACUCAUAAUGGAAAUCCCUAUAACCAGUCUCCAAAUAGAGUUCCAAAAGACAGGCAGCAAUGUUGUUCUGCAGUGUGCAUUCCAGGGUCAGGUUUUUGUUAAGGUAAAAGCUCUAAAUGGUCCAUUCAAAACCAAAUUGCAUGAAAGAUGAAUGAAAAAUACAUCUCAAGAUGCUCAAAGGAUCGUCUGUUUAUUAGGUGAAAAGCCAGACACAAUCUGGCCUAUGGGUGCUCCUAAAGUAUUCUUCAUGAGGCUAUACAAAAUCAUAAAACUAAAGCAUCUAAAUACAUUGUCACAUUGCAUUGUUUAUCAUCAAAAGUUUAGAAACUCCAAAACCAUUUACUGGGAAAAUGGAAAUAUAUCAACAAUGACUGUAGUUAUGUGUGCGUGCAUAUGAGUAUGUCUUAUAAGCAGAUAGUAAAAAAAUAUGGAUUUCAUUCAAGCGCACAUGGAUAUCUGGGCCUGUCUAAAAUAAUGGCACAUUUUAUCUCUGUAGGAACUAAGUAUUUUAACUUCAAAAUCCACUCAGUGAUCAUCUUCUUUAUUGCCCAAAUUCUUAAGGUCCAUGGAUAAUGUUGUUCCAAAAAGUAGAUCAGCAAAGAAUUAUCUGGUUUUAGUUGAUCCUUUUAUCACAGAAGAUAUUCUGUAUGUUUCUUAAGAGGUUUUUGACAUUUCCAGCAUAUGAUAUAAAUAAAAAAACUGCUUUUGCAAGUUUUAAAGUAGUAAAAAUAUGUGCCGAUUUCAGUAUCAUACUUACCUAUGUGUAACUUAGAAUUACAUUUCUGUAACUGAUUUGUAAUUCACAAUCCCCAAAGAGUUUGAAUUAUAGCAUUAUUGCCAUGAGUGUCACUGCCUCCCUCACCUCACUGUAUCAGGCAUUCGUUGCAUCAAGAGACGAUGAUCUGUUUUUCUGGCAAUUGAGCAUGAGUAGGUGAAGUUUCCAUCACUCCUUCCCACCAGCAAGUGAAGAUGUGACAAUCAGAAGCAAGAUCUUUGUUGCAACUCCAGGCUGAAACCUCACUCUUUGGAAGGAGAAGGAGAAAACAUCAUCCAUGUAUGUCUCAAUGCAUGAGAGCUAUUGCACGGUGACCUUCCCACAAAGCCAAGCUUAAGCUGAAAUAAGGACCCCACCGGCCUUCCUCCCAUGAAGCCCAGCAAAUCUUGAAUCUCGUAUUACCCUAGAGGCAUGGGAAAGAGCUGGGCUGCUGUGACUCCCACACUCUAGCACAACAGAAAAGGGAACUAAUUUAUCUGGCGAAUAGUCAACAAGAAGAGUGCAAGAAUGAGCUUGAGACAGGGAACAUUGCUUCUGUUAGUCUAACAUAAAAAUAUUAAAAUCAUGGGCCUUGAAAACAAGUGUACGCAAACCAUUCAAAAAGAAGUUUAAUGUAUGAACUGGAAAAUACCAGCAUGUAUAAGUACAAAUCUGGUGAAUCAGAACCAGUACAUUCAGAAACUUGGAUAUAAACAGAAUAAAGACAAGACAAAAAAAGUCACAAUCAAUCUAAGAAACAUUAAAACAAGCAUCAAUAUAACAUAUUUGAACUUUCCAGUUAAUGUUUAUAAUAGUCCUGGAAUAGGUUGUGUAGUGAGCUUUAUUUUGUCUAUUACAAAUUAUCUUAAUUGUGCUGUUUGUUGACAUAGCAUUAUUGUUCCACAAAACCAUAACCAUACAUCACUUGAAAGCAAAGCAAUCUUAAAAUAGAUCUUCCAAUACUGGAUGGAAAAAGGGGGUAGAUUUUCUUUCUAUUUCAUGCUUAAAUCUCGUCGAUGCAAUAUGAUUAUUAUUUUUAAGUAGAUGAUUUCUAUAUUUGUGCUAAAAUCUGCAUUGAUUGAAAUAUAUAUUCACUUUACAGACUACAAUGUCUAGUGUUAAUCACCCAGGCUUGAUUAAUUAUGCUGGAUGAUUAGGUGAUGACACUUCUUAGUUGAGAAAAUGAGGCAUCUUCGGCAUCCUGUCAAAACACAGAACAUUCCUCCUUCUCACCUUCAUUACCAAGAUAUAUGAAAGCUCAAAACUACUUUAUUUCCUUUAUGUGAAAAACUGAAUGUUUAAUUGCCCUAUAUCUGUCAACAAUAAAAACUUGGUACACCUCA